This 444-nucleotide ribosomal RNA is filed under the name uncultured Lachnospiraceae bacterium. Its description in RNAcentral is "bacterial SSU rRNA". It matches the Rfam family "Bacterial small subunit ribosomal RNA", at positions 369 to 826 of the family's 1533-position model. The record is from RNAcentral. Lineage: Bacteria; Bacillati; Bacillota; Clostridia; Lachnospirales; Lachnospiraceae.
CGCCCGCCGCGCGCGGCGGGCGGGGCGGGGGCACGGGGGGGCGAARAAGUAUUUCGGUAUGUAAAGCUCUAUCAGCAGGGAAGAUAAUGACGGUACCUGACUAAGAAGCMCCGGCUAAAUACGUGCCAGCAGCCGCGGUAAUACGUAUGGUGCAAGCGUUAUCCGGAUUUACUGGGUGUAAAGGGAGCGUAGGCGGUUUUACAAGUCUGAUGUGAAAGCCCGGGGCUCAACUCCGGUAUUGCAUUGGAAACUGUAGAACUAGAGUGUCGGAGGGGUAAGUGGAAUUCCUAGUGUARCGGUGAAAUGCGUARAUAUUAGGAGGAACACCAGUGGCGAAGGCGGCUUACUGGACGAUUACUGACGCUGAGGCUCGAAAGCGUGGGGAGCAAACAGGAUUAGAUACCCUGGKAGUCCACGCCGUAAACGAUGAAUACUAGGUGUUGG